Molecule: ribosomal RNA, 761 nt
Filed under: Prevotella nigrescens
Lineage: Bacteria; Pseudomonadati; Bacteroidota; Bacteroidia; Bacteroidales; Prevotellaceae
Description: bacterial SSU rRNA
Rfam family: Bacterial small subunit ribosomal RNA
Source: RNAcentral
GAUGAACGCNGGCUACAGGCUUAACACAUGCAAGUCGUGGGGAAACGGCAUUAUGUGCUUGCACAUUCUGGACGUCGACCGGCGCACGGGUGAGUAUCGCGUAUCCAACCUGCCCCUUACUUGGGGAUACCCCGUUGAAAGACGGCCUAAUACCCGAUGUGUUUCAUUGACGGCAUCCGAUAUGAAACAAAGGUUUUCCGGUAAGGGAUGGGGAUGCGUCUGAUUAGCUAGUUGGCGGGGCAACGGCCCACCAAGGCGACGAUCAGUAGGGGUUCUGAGAGGAAGGUCCCCCACAUUGGAACUGGGACACGGUCCAAACUCCUACGGGAGGCAGCAGUGAGGAAUAUUGGUCAAUGGACGCAAGUCUGAACCAGCCAAGUAGCGUGCAGGAUGACGGCCCUAUGGGUUGUAAACUGCUUUUAUGUGGGAAUAAAUUGGCGCACGUGUGCGCCAUUGCAUGUACCUCAUGAAUAAGGACCGGCUAAUUCCGUGCCAGCAGCCGCGGUAAUACGGAAGGUCCGGGCGUUAUCCGGAUUUAUUGGGUUUAAAGGGAGUGUAGGCGGUCUGUUAAGCGUGUUGUGAAAUUUAGGUGCUCAACAUUUAACUUGCAGCGCGAACUGUCAGACUUGAGUACACGCAGCGCAGGCGGAAUUCAUGGUGUAGCGGUGAAAUGCUUAGAUAUCAUGAGGAACUCCGAUCGCGAAGGCAGCCUGCGGGAGUGUUACUGACGCUUAAGCUCGAAGGUGCGGGUAUCGAACAGG